AAGUUAAGUGAGAAAAGAAAAAAAAAAAGAAGUUAAGUGAGAAACGGUAAAGCCUGAGCGGCUAUGGGCCUGAAUUUAUCACGACAACUCGUGGCCCACGGAGGUGGCGGGAAGGUGGAACCACGCAGUCAGAACUUCCUCCAGAGAGGUGAGGCUGUGCGGCCUUGGACAGCUUAAGCACGACCUCAUUUAUUUUUCACUGUGUUUACUGAAACAAUGAAAUGUAGGCCGGGGAGGCGAUGGCAGGGCCUUGUGUGGCUCCCUGAUCUGGGUUCUGGCCUCCAUCCAGGAGGCCAGGGAGGGACGAGGGGCAGCCCUUGGGUGGGGGACCCUGCUGAGUGGCAGCAGCUUCAGGUGGCUCCGCUCUGUCCUUUGUCCCCGGCCCUGGGCUGUGCCCUUUGCUGUCCUGCUCAGUUUACUGCCAACGUCAAGAGGCACUUCUCAUUUAGUGGCUCCUGGUCUCAACUCCCAACAGCCUCAGGGAAGUUGCUAAACAAGCCUCCCCUGCUGGCCUCCCCUGCUGGCCUCCCCUGCUGGCCUCCCCGCCCCACCUGGGGUGCAGCAGGGCUGGCUGACUUGGCAGCGCACUUACCCACGUGGAAAUGUGCUUGGGGAUGUGUUAAAUGGAACCGGGGAAUAUUCCAAACCAUUCCUUCAAUAAUGGAAUUGAAACGUUGUGCUGCCGCAGUGGCCUGGGAUGGAAACUUCCGAGUGGAAAGUGAGAUCCUGAUUUUUCUUGAAGACGAAAUGGGGCCCCAAGGCCAUCUCCAUGAUUCACCUUGGAGAAAUCUAAUUACCCUUGAAUAUUCGACCUUCAAUGUGUCAACAUGAAUGUUUUCUCAACCUGGCUUCAUGGAGAUAUGGAGGCUGUGCUUAACAGGUAACAUUUUUCUUAGGAGUUAUUAAGGUCAUGGUCUAUUUCUUUAGUUUUGUGUCUUCCCUUUUAACCCACUUGCAC
Molecule: long non-coding RNA, 958 nt
Organism: Vulpes vulpes (red fox)
Lineage: Eukaryota; Metazoa; Chordata; Mammalia; Carnivora; Canidae
Source: Ensembl